This 303-nucleotide ribosomal RNA is filed under the name uncultured bacterium. RNAcentral's name for it is "partial 16S ribosomal RNA". It matches the Rfam family "Bacterial small subunit ribosomal RNA", at positions 355 to 668 of the family's 1533-position model. The record is from RNAcentral.
UGGGGAAUAUUGCACAAUGGGCGAAAGCCUGAUGCAGCGACGCCGCGUGCGGGAUGAAGGCCUUCGGGUUGUUAAACCGCUUUUAAUUGGGAGCAAGCGAGAGUGAGUGUACCUUUUGAAUAAGCACCGGCUAACUACGUGCCAGCAGCCGCGGUAAUACGUAGGGUGCAAGCGUUAUCCGGAAUUAUUGGGCGUAAAGAGCUCGUAGGCGGUUUGUCACGCCUGGUGUGAAAAGUCCAUCGCUUAACGGUGGAUCUGCGCCGGGUACGGGCAGGCUAGAGUGCAGUAGGGGAGAUUGGAAUU